UUCUCAGGACGAACGCUGGCGGCGUGCCUAAUACAUGCAAGUCGAGCGGACAGAAGGGAGCUUGCUCCCGGAUGUUAGCGGCGGACGGGUGAGUAACACGUGGGUAACCUGCCUGUAAGACUGGNAUAACUCCGGGAAACCGGAGCUAAUACCGGAUAGUUCCUUGAACCGCAUGGUUCAAGGAUGAAAGACGGUUUCGGCUGUCACUUACAGAUGGACCCGCGGCGCAUUAGCUAGUUGGUGGGGUAAUGGCUCACCAAGGCGACGAUGCGUAGCCGACCUGAGAGGGUGAUCGGCCACACUGGGACUGAGACACGGCCCAGACUCCUACGGGAGGCAGCAGUAGGGAAUCUUCCGCAAUGGACGAAAGUCUGACGGAGCAACGCCGCGUGAGUGAUGAAGGUUUUCGGAUCGUAAAGCUCUGUUGUUAGGGAAGAACAAGUGCGAGAGUAACUGCUCGCACCUUGACGGUACCUAACCAGAAAGCCACGGCUAACUACGUGCCAGCAGCCGCGGUAAUAC
Molecule: ribosomal RNA, 522 nt
Filed under: uncultured marine bacterium
Lineage: Bacteria
Description: bacterial SSU rRNA
Rfam family: Bacterial small subunit ribosomal RNA
Source: RNAcentral